CUACGGGCGGCUCCAGUGGGGAAUAUUGCACAAUAGAGGGAACUCUGAUGCAGCAACGCCGCGUGGAGGAUGACACAUUUCGGUGCGUAAACUCCUUUUAUAUAAGAAGAUAAUGACGGUAUUAUAUGAAUAAGCACCGGCUAACUCCGUGCCAGCAGCCGCGGUAAUACGGGGGGUGCAAGCGUUACUCGGAAUCACUGGGCGUAAAGAGCAUGUAGGCUGGUUUGUAAGUUUGAAGUGAAAUCCUAUGGCUUAACCAUAGAACUGCUUCCAAAACUACUUACCUAGAGUAUGGGAGAGGUAGAUGGAAUUUCUGGUGUAGGGGUAAAAUCCGUAGAGAUCAGAAGGAAUACCGAUUGCGAAGGCGAUCUACUGGAACAUUACUGACGCUCAGAUGCGAAAGCGUGGGGAGCAAACAGGAUUAGAUACCCGAGUAGUC
RNAcentral lists this ribosomal RNA (439 nucleotides) under uncultured bacterium. RNAcentral's name for it is "partial 16S ribosomal RNA". It matches the Rfam family "Bacterial small subunit ribosomal RNA", at positions 339 to 795 of the family's 1533-position model. The record is from RNAcentral.